AUGAACGCUGGCGGCGUGCCUAAUACAUGCAAGUCGAGCGAACAGACGAGGAGCUUGCUCCUCUGACGUUAGCGGCGGACGGGUGAGUAACACGUGGAUAACCUACCUAUAAGACUGGGAUAACUUCGGGAAACCGGAGCUAAUACCGGAUAAUAUAUUGAACCGCAUGGUUCAAUAGUGAAAGACGGUUUUGCUGUCACUUAUAGAUGGAUCCGCGCCGCAUUAGCUAGUUGGUAAGGUAACGGCUUACCAAGGCAACGAUACGUAGCCGACCUGAGAGGGUGAUCGGCCACACUGGAACUGAGACACGGUCCAGAUUCCUACGGGAGGCAGCAGUAGGGAAUCUUCCGCAAUGGGCGAAAGCCUGACGGAGCAACGCCGCGUGAGUGAUGAAGGUCUUCGGAUCUUAAAACUCUGUUAUUAGGGAAGAACAAAUGUGUAAGUAACUAUGCACGUCUUGACGGUACCUAAUCAGAAAGCCACGGCUAACUACGUG
This 496-nucleotide ribosomal RNA is filed under the name uncultured bacterium. RNAcentral describes it as "partial 16S ribosomal RNA". It matches the Rfam family "Bacterial small subunit ribosomal RNA", at positions 29 to 507 of the family's 1533-position model. The record is from RNAcentral.